CACGGGGGGAGGUGGUCCCUCAGCCCAGUUUGUGAGAGGGUGCAGGCCAGGCUGAGGGACUCCACCAGUGCACA
Molecule: microRNA precursor, 74 nt
Filed under: Eptesicus fuscus (big brown bat)
Lineage: Eukaryota; Metazoa; Chordata; Mammalia; Chiroptera; Vespertilionidae
Description: mir-9193 microRNA precursor family
Rfam family: mir-9193 microRNA precursor family
Source: Rfam by way of RNAcentral